RNAcentral lists this long non-coding RNA (539 nucleotides) under Nicotiana tabacum (common tobacco). Its description in RNAcentral is "long non-coding RNA (NTAB_LNC000597)". Lineage: Eukaryota; Viridiplantae; Streptophyta; Magnoliopsida; Solanales; Solanaceae. The record is from RNAcentral.
UUAAUAGCUAGCAUCUCACAAAUUGAACUCUACAAAGAAUCACAAUUUGGGUUCCUCUCUGCAACCUAGGUUUCAUUCUCCUUCUCAUCAAGGUAAGCUCUAAACUUGUAGUAAAAUAUUUUGACAUUGGGCACUUUUUUAUAUUAUCAGUUCUCUCUCUGUUUUUCAAAUAUUGAGUUUUUUCUUAUAAUUACAUAUGCUUCAAAUUUAUAAUUAUAGGUACGUUUUAUGAGUAUUGAUGUUGAAUGUGCCGAGCUUAUUUCUUUAUUUCCAUUGAAUUUUGCUCCUUACAUAAUAGCUAUGUGUUUUCAUCUUUAGAGCAGAUUAUUUUUUGAAAUUGGGUUUGAUUGCAUAUUGUUAUUGGGAAAAAGCUUCUCAAUAUCUGGUCAUGAUUGUAUUGUAAACUUUCUCUAGUGAAAUUAGGGGUGGACAUAAAAUCCGAGAAAUCCAAAAAUGUGCUAGAAGGGGAAUUGCAGCAACUAGGAUAGCAGUCAAGUUCUCAAGUCAUAAUGGAGGCUUGCAAGAAUGGGCACCAAAAU